RNAcentral lists this ribosomal RNA (433 nucleotides) under uncultured bacterium. RNAcentral describes it as "partial 16S ribosomal RNA". It matches the Rfam family "Bacterial small subunit ribosomal RNA", at positions 29 to 507 of the family's 1533-position model. The record is from RNAcentral.
AACGAACGCUGGCGGCAUGCCUAACACAUGCAAGUCGAACGAGACCUUCGGGUCUAGUGGCGCACGGGUGCGUAACGCGUGGGAACCUGCACUUAGGUUCGGAAUAACUCCCCGAAAGGGGUGCUAAUACCGGAUAAUGUCUUCGGACCAAAGAUUUAUCGCCUUUGGAUGGGCCCGCGUUGGAUUAGCUAGUUGGUAGGGUAAAAGCCUACCAAGGCGACGAUCCAUAGCUGGUCUGAGAGGAUGAUCAGCCACACUGGGACUGCGACACGGCCCAGACUCCUACGGGAGGCAGCAGUGGGGAAUAUUGGACGAUGGGCGAAAGCCUGAUCCAGCAAUGCCGCGUGAGUGAUGAAGGCCUUAGGGUUGUAAAGCUCUUUUACCCGGGAUGAUAAUGACAGUACCGGGAGAAUAAGCUCCGGCUAACUCCGUG